GCGGGCGCGCCGAGGAAGGGGCAGGGGGUCCUUGGUGAGAUUUUUCGUUGUGAUUAAAAUCCUACCGCCCCGCAGGGCUUGGAUCGGCGACGAGGGGAGGCCACCGGAGCCGGGCGCGUACGCCGGGCAGGAUAGAAGAGGGCUUCUACAGGCAGCGGAGCCAGGUCCAGGCAGAGGAUGCAGCAUGCUCACCCAGCAACAGGCUGUCUCCAUCUCCCACCGCUGUGUCCCAUCUGUGCCCGGGCAGUGCCUAGACCAUCCUCUUCGUUCAGGUCUGCCACUUGACACCUGCCUGCAUCUCUCCAAAUCCUCAGAACCAGCUGGCUUGGUUUGGCCAAGAAUCACCCAACUAAUGUCCAUUUUCUUGAGAGUUCUUGCAGGGAUACAUGGCUUGCAAAUAUAUCCCGA
This is a long non-coding RNA of Ficedula albicollis (Collared flycatcher), 408 nucleotides long. RefSeq lists it as uncharacterized. NCBI's taxonomy places the organism in Eukaryota, Metazoa, Chordata, Aves, Passeriformes, Muscicapidae. The transcript has 3 exons. The record is from RefSeq and is a predicted model, not a curated record.